CUAGGAAGUAAUACCCAGUGCCUCCACCCUCACGGUAUCUAGGAAGUAAUACCCAGUGCCUCCACCCUCACUGUAUCUAGGAAGUAAUACCCAGUGCCUCCACCCUCACGGUAUCUAGGAAGUAAUACCCAGUGCCUCCACCCUCACUGUAUCUAGGAAGUAAUACCCAGUGCCUCCACCCUCACGGUAUCUAGGAAGUAAUACCCAGUGCCUCCACCCUCACGGUAUCUAGGAAAUAACUAAGUUGCUUUUGAUUUUACAGCGUCAUAGGCAGAAGGGACUUAUGUUUGAGCUUAAACUCUUUGGCUUUGAACUUAAACUCUUGAGUUAAUGCUGAAGUGAGUUAAGACUUUGGGGUACUGUUGGAAGGGCAUGAAUUUGUUUAGAAUUUGAGGACAUGAGACUUGGAGGGGACAGGGGCAGAAUGACACAGUUUGGCUGUGUCCUCACCUAAAUCUCAUAUUGAACUGUAGUUCCCAUGGUCCCCAAGUAUUGUGGGAGGGGCCUGGUGGGAGGUAAUUGAAUCUUGGGGUUGGUUACCUUCAUGCUCUUCUCUUGAUAGUGAGUUCUCACAAGAUCUGAUGGCUUUAUAAGGGGCCGUUCCCCCACUUCUGCUCAGCACUUCUCCUUGCUGCCACAGUGUGAAGAAGGAUGUGUUUGCUUCACCUUAUGCCAUGCUUGUAAAGGCAUAAAGAGUUAACAGCAUUACCAGUUCCAUGAAGAGUGUACAGCAUUACCAGUUCCAUGAAGAGUGUACAGCAUUACCAGUUCCAUGAAGAGUUAACAGCAUUACCAGUUCCAUGAAGAGUUAACAGCAUUACCAGUUCCAUGAAGAGUGUACAGCAUUACCAGUUCCAUGAAGAGUGUACAGCAUUACCAGUUCCAUGAAGAGUUAACAGCAUUACCAGUUCCAUGAAGAGUGUACAGCAUUACCAGUUCCAUGAAGAGUGUACAGCAUUACCAGUUCCAUGAAGAGUGUACAGCAUUACCAGUUCCAUGAAGAGUUAACAGCAUUACCAGUUCCAUGAAGAGUGUACAGCAUUACCAGUUCCAUGAAGAGUUAACAGCAUUACCAGUUCCAUGAAGAGUGUACAGCAUUACCAGUUCCAUGAAGAGUGUACAGCAUUACCAGUUCCAUGAAGAGUUAACAGCAUUACCAGUUCCAUGAAGAGUUAACAGCAUUACCAGUUCCAUGAAGAGUUAACAGCAUUACCAGUUCCAUGAAGAGUGUACAGCAUUACCAGUUCCAUGAAGAGUGUACAGCAUUACCAGUUCCAUGAAGAGUGUACAGCAUUACCAGUUCCAUGAAGAGUGUACAGCAUUACCAGUUCCAUGAAGAGUGUACAGCAUUACCAGUUCCAUGAAGAGUGUACAGCAUUACCAGUUCCAUGAAGAGUUAACAGCAUUACCAGUUCCAUGAAGAGUGUACAGCAUUACCAGUUCCAUGAAGAG
This 1452-nucleotide long non-coding RNA is filed under the name Callithrix jacchus (white-tufted-ear marmoset). Its description in RNAcentral is "lncRNA (ENSCJAG00000071439.1)". The record is from RNAcentral. Lineage: Eukaryota; Metazoa; Chordata; Mammalia; Primates; Cebidae.